CACAUGUGAGCAGAUAUAUUUAUCCUAGCCACAAGCCAGCACACUGUGAAAUCACUUACAUGUGAUUUUCCCUUUCACAUCCUUUCUAAUCGAGUUGGAGAGGUGUAAACAAUAAGGGUGGAGCCCAGAAGAUGCUUUGCCCAAACAUGUCCGCUAUCAUCAGAUCUGAGAGGAGAGUAAUGAAUGCAGGCGAAGGGCUGAUAACAAAUCUACAGACAAGUUUACGGAUGUCUCCCACCCUGGGCAUACACACAGCCUCUCCUCUGGUCGCCUCCAUCCACUCCAUCCACUCCUGCUAUUGGGCGAGGGACGUGUCACUCGGAUCAUAACAACGAAAGGGGUGUUUUCCUUCUAAUCACAGAGAUGAUGUUGACAAAUAGCCUCAGUGUUGGUCUUCACCAGUCUUGAUUUAAAAUCUGCAGUCCGCUGAGUCUGAGGCCAAGACAAGACCGAGAAGAAGUGCUUACCAUUCCAAGAAGAGACCAAGACCUUUAGAAAAUGGUCUCAAGACCAGGUUUGAGGCCAAGACUGACUUUGAGUACUAUAACACUUAUAUGUGCUCCAGUA
Molecule: long non-coding RNA, 567 nt
Organism: Notolabrus celidotus (New Zealand spotty)
Lineage: Eukaryota; Metazoa; Chordata; Actinopteri; Labriformes; Labridae
Exons: 3
Source: RefSeq, a predicted model, not a curated record